This 467-nucleotide ribosomal RNA is filed under the name uncultured bacterium. Its description in RNAcentral is "partial 16S ribosomal RNA". It matches the Rfam family "Bacterial small subunit ribosomal RNA", at positions 29 to 507 of the family's 1533-position model. The record is from RNAcentral.
ACGAACGCUGGCGGCGUGCUUAACACAUGCCAGUCGAACGGAAAGGCCCUGCUUUUGUGGGGUGCUCGAGUGGCGAACGGGUGAGUAACACGUGAGUAACCUGCCCUUGACUUUGGGAUAACUUCAGGAAACUGGGGCUAAUACCGGAUAGGAGCUCCUGCUGCAUGGUGGGGGUUGGAAAGUUUCGGCGGUUGGGGAUGGACUCGCGGCUUAUCAGCUUGUUGGUGGGGUAGUGGCUUACCAAGGCUUUGACGGGUAGCCGGCCUGAGAGGGUGACCGGCCACAUUGGGACUGAGAUACGGCUCAGACUCCUACGGGAGGCAGCAGUGGGGAAUAUUGCACAAUGGGCGGAAGCCUGAUGCAGCAACGCCGCGUGCGGGAUGACGGCCUUCGGGUUGUAAACCGCUUUCGCCUGUGACGAAGCGUGAGUGACGGUAAUGGGUAAAGAAGCACCGGCUAACUACGUG